CGGGGGGCAGGGAGGGGUCCCUCAGCCUGGAUGGUGAGAAGGUGCAAGCCAGGCCUAGGGACCCCACUGGUGCACC
Molecule: microRNA precursor, 76 nt
Filed under: Myotis davidii
Lineage: Eukaryota; Metazoa; Chordata; Mammalia; Chiroptera; Vespertilionidae
Description: mir-9193 microRNA precursor family
Source: Rfam by way of RNAcentral